Molecule: ribosomal RNA, 495 nt
Filed under: uncultured bacterium
Lineage: Bacteria
Description: partial 16S ribosomal RNA
Rfam family: Bacterial small subunit ribosomal RNA
Source: RNAcentral
UGAACGCUGGCGGCGUGCCUAAUACAUGCAAGUCGAGCGAACAGACGAGGAGCUUGCUCCUCUGACGUUAGCGGCGGACGGGUGAGUAACACGUGGAUAACCUACCUAUAAGACUGGGAUAACUUCGGGAAACCGGAGCUAAUACCGGAUAAUAUAUUGAACCGCAUGGUUCAAUAGUGAAAGACGGUUUUGCUGUCACUUAUAGAUGGAUCCGCGGCGCAUUAGCUAGUUGGUAAGGUAACGGCUUACCAAGGCAACGAUGCGUAGCCGACCUGAGAGGGUGAUCGGCCACACUGGAACUGAGACACGGUCCAGACUCCUACGGGAGGCAGCAGUAGGGAAUCUUCCGCAAUGGGCGAAAGCCUGACGGAGCAACGCCGCGUGAGUGAUGAAGGUCUUCGGAUCGUAAAACUCUGUUAUUAGGGAAGAACAAAUGUGUAAGUAACUAUGCACGUCUUGACGGUACCUAAUCAGAAAGCCACGGCUAACUACGUG